AGGUGAAAGCAGCUUAAUUGGAGCCAGUUGUAGGGAUCUGUGGUGCAGGACUCAGAGAACCUGGUGGCUGCUGACUUCUUCCCAAAGAAGUUUGGCUGUGUGUCUACAAACCAUGCGUGUGUACACGUGUAGGUAUGGCGUUAGCACGAGUGCCUGAAUUAGAGCCAUGACCCUCCAGGGAGUGCUGUGGUCUUGCAGGGCUGGAAAGCUGUCAGCUGUGUGAACUUGCAGAAGAACUAGUUUUGCUCAGCUUUGGCUUUUGGAGAGAAGAAAUGAUUGCUGAAGAAACGUAGCUGGGCAGCAAGUCCCUGCUCAGGAUGGGGUAAUGCAUUGAGCAUGGGACAGCAAACAAAACACAUCGCUGCAUGGGAUCGCUGCCCUGGGUGAUGGAAGCACUUGGCUUUAAAAAAAAAAAAAAAAAAAAAAAAAAAAAAUCGGCAGGGAGAUUUUUUCUUUCCCUAGACAUUUAUGCAGAAAAACACCCUCUGAGUGGGGCGUGAUUUCCUUCAGCAGCUGAAAUCACCUGCCUCUUGCUUUCAGCCACAACCAGCCAAGGUUUCCAAAAUAAAACAAAAGCAUUAAGUGUGAUUAUUGGGCAAGACUUGCUUCUUCCUCAGACCUCGCUGCAGCCGUCCCCAGCCCAGGGCUGCCUGGGCGAGGAGUGUGUUGGAGCCAGUGGCUGGUGGUGAGAGUCAGCAAACCCCCUUCUGUGCAGCUGGGAUGAACUUUGCUUGAGAACCAACCUUUUGCCAGAAUGUUCUUUUGCUGAACAUCACUUUUACAAUAAUAAUAAUAAAAGAGAGAGAGACAGAAAAGGGAAA
Molecule: long non-coding RNA, 821 nt
Organism: Anas platyrhynchos (mallard)
Lineage: Eukaryota; Metazoa; Chordata; Aves; Anseriformes; Anatidae
Source: RefSeq, a predicted model, not a curated record